This 207-nucleotide long non-coding RNA is filed under the name Elaeis guineensis (African oil palm). Its description in RNAcentral is "long non-coding RNA (EGUI_LNC031049)". The record is from RNAcentral. Lineage: Eukaryota; Viridiplantae; Streptophyta; Magnoliopsida; Arecales; Arecaceae.
CAGUAGCCAUCAUAUCCUUUGGAGUCUUUCGUCUUAUGGAAGCUUCAAGUCUUUUAUCCUGUUCCCUUUCUUCUCCAACGUCACUUUGCAAUUUUCUUCUGACAAGCCAAUAUAGGUUGAUUGCUUUUCUUUCCUUCCUCUUUCUUUUCCUUGCAUCAAACUAGUAAAUCGGGCUGGUUGGCUUUGUCUCGUCGCUCCAAUGGCUCC